CCCUUAGAUGUCCUGGGCCGCACGCGCGCUACACUGACAUGUUCAACAAGCCUCCUAGUUCGACAGGAUUUGGGAAAUCUUUGAACGCAUGUCGUGAUAGGGAUAGAUCAUUGCAAUUAUUGAUCUUGAACGAGGAAUUCCUAGUAAACGCGAGUCAUCAGCUCGCAUUGAUUACGUCCCUGCCCUUUGUACACACCGCCCGUCGCACCUACCGAUUGAAUGUUUCGGUGAAGAUUCCGGAUAGGACUUUUUUGAUUUAUUUCAAUUUUGUCUUAAAAGCUAUCUAAACCUCAACAUUUAGAGGAAGGAGAAGUCGUAACA
RNAcentral lists this ribosomal RNA (321 nucleotides) under uncultured eukaryote. Its description in RNAcentral is "partial 18S ribosomal RNA". It matches the Rfam family "Eukaryotic small subunit ribosomal RNA", at positions 1470 to 1796 of the family's 1831-position model. The record is from RNAcentral.